Molecule: long non-coding RNA, 1974 nt
Organism: Bombus terrestris (buff-tailed bumblebee)
Lineage: Eukaryota; Metazoa; Arthropoda; Insecta; Hymenoptera; Apidae
Exons: 3
Source: RefSeq, a predicted model, not a curated record
GGCUGUUGGUCGCUGGGUCGAGACGUCUGAUCGUUGGUAUAUGCGGCUAAAGUCCCGAUCAAAUAAUUCGACGCAUACAGUCGGUGAAGAUAGUGCAAAAUUAAAUGGUUUAUUGGCGGGUAUCGAGCCGUGACGCGGACUCGAACAACUGAGCUGAGAGCGACUGCAGGAAGACUAUAGGAAAGGCUCAUUAGCCGCAGACAGUUGACAGGACAAAGCUGGAUUGUUCUUUCCCCUCUGCUCAGCCUCAAUGUCGACCCCGUAUCACCCCUUAGUCCGCCAUCAUCCGUCGUCCACGAAUUAAGGAUCUUGCUUCUCGGGCUCGUCAACCGGCAAUCCAAAUCAGAUAAAUGACUUUUAAUUUUUAUGUAUCAUAACACUCAUUCCGGAAUACAUGAAUGUAUCCCAUCGUAAGGACGAUUUCACUUUUGCAAUAAGAAACAGAAGAUGUUUUCUGUGACAUCGCAUAUGCCAGAUUAUACAAUUAAGGAAAGAAUUGUAACACUAUCUGUCAGUGAUUAAUUUAUAUUUCAAUUUAUAACAUAUCGAAGUGAAUUCGCUUUUAACUCGUGUUAAAGUUUAUAUUCAGUCAUGGUGGAACGUUAAUAUAGAUCAUAUUAAUAACCAUCCACACGUUGAACCAUGCAUACAUUAAUAAAAUUUGCGCAAAUAUAUGCCAGCUGUGACUGCGACGAUUAAAUCGCCAACAUUAUUUAUCGAACAGGUUUCCUACGAUUAAUUACAUUAAACCGGACUUACAGGAUUAAAAUCCGCUUGAUAUAUAUGAUUCAUUAUAUUUUGUUCGUUAUGCAAUUUAAAAAAAGAUAUAUUUGAGAUGUUUACCCAGUAAAUGUUUACCAUUAUGUUUUAUUCUAGGUAAACUUUUUAGCUAAGAAGCGAACGUUAUACAAAGAUCAUUUGAAGUUUUGUUAGAAGCUUGUUAAAGUAUCAAAGAAUCAAUUAAAAAACGAAAAAUUCGAACGUUCUUUAAUUAACUAGAUAACAUUCUUCUUUACAAUUAAACAUUACAUUCAUUACAUUUGCAGAACAUUUCAAUCCUAACAAGACAUAUGCGAUGAAUUAAAAAAAAAAAAACUCAACUAAAACACAUACAAGUGACUAAAUAACGACGAACAAAAAGCUGAAAAAAGCUCGACGUAGAUCGAAAUUAAUGGAAAGCGAACACGAGGCAGAAGAACGAUCUACAAUUCGUUUUCGUCCACAUGUGUCAGGUCGGGCCAAAACGCAACCCCGCCGUUACGGCGUCUCGGCUGAUUUAUCGAAAUUUCACGUCGAAUUGGCUCGCACGGGGAUCAACCAACAGUGAAUCGGAGGACAGACCGAAAAGAACGUGGCUGUUAGUUCGGCCGGCUCAUAAUUUGUUCACGGUUAUUUUUAGGCGAGUCUCAAUCUCGUCGUGUCGACACGAAUGAGAGUGACUCCUCGGCGCCAGUGGUACUGUCAGUCGUAACAGUGACAACGAGACCGACCGUUCGAUGCUGGAACGAAAAUAAAUCCCUGGAUGGGCUACGAAGGCUCGCAAGAGCCACGGAUCCUCGUGGAAUUUUGGGACACGUGUGCAAACACUGCGGCAAAGCUCGUUAUUGUUCGCCAGCUAGAAUUCCCGCGGUUUUAUUCAUCGACGAUUUCGCGAACAACGCUGCCUUUAUCCUGUUCUGGAUUUCCCAUCAACGAACGCUUAAAACGAUUUCUGCGAAUGGUUACGGUUUACGUGGAAAUGUACUGCUACAUCCAGGAUAGAAAUUGUAAAUUAAUAGAAUACGAAGAAAUUUUUAUACUUAUACUUAAAUUCACGAUUUGGGAAAGUUAUCAUUUUCAUAAAUUUAACCUUGCGAUUCGGAAAUUACGGUUUUUGUAGAUUUAACUUCGUUGUUUAAAUUCCAAUUCUUCGAUACAAAAGGUGUACAGAGAUAACUAAUGAUACAUUAGUGAUACAAUGAUGUACAAACGAUA